UACGAAGGGGGCUAGCGUUGCUCGGAAUUACUGGGCGUAAAGGGAGCGUAGGCGGACAUUUAAGUCAGGGGUGAAAUCCCGAGGCUCAACCUCGGAACUGCCUUUGAUACUGGAUGUCUUGAGUGUGAGAGAGGUGAGUGGAACUCCGAGUGUAGAGGUGAAAUUCGUAGAUAUUCGGAAGAACACCAGUGGCGAAGGCGACUCACUGGCUCAUUACUGACGCUCAGGUGCGAAAGCGUGGGGAGCAAACAGG
This 253-nucleotide ribosomal RNA is filed under the name uncultured bacterium. RNAcentral's name for it is "partial 16S ribosomal RNA". It matches the Rfam family "Bacterial small subunit ribosomal RNA", at positions 524 to 776 of the family's 1533-position model. The record is from RNAcentral.